Molecule: long non-coding RNA, 1235 nt
Organism: Homo sapiens (human)
Lineage: Eukaryota; Metazoa; Chordata; Mammalia; Primates; Hominidae
Gene: HLA-DRB6
Product: major histocompatibility complex, class II, DR beta 6 (pseudogene)
Source: Ensembl
GAAUACAGAAUGUGGGCAAACUCGCUUCUGUGCCGGCCGCCAGAAGGUUUGCUGAGGGCAAUCACUCCCUGGUGCCGGGCUCCUUGAGGUUAUGCACUGGGACAUCUAGAGCCUAUUGUUUGAGGAAUGCAGUCUUGCAAGCCUGCUCUGGAUCAAGCCACAGACUGAAACACCCCCGAAGAGCAAGCACGUUUCUUGGAGCAGGCUAAGUGUGAGUGUCAUAUCUUCAAUGGGAUGAAGCGGGUGCAGUACCUGAACAGAUACAUCCAUAAACGGGAGGAGAACCUGCGCUUCGACAGCAACGUGGAGGAGUUCCAGGCAGUUACGGAACUGGGGCGGCCUGUCGCAGAGAACUGGAACAGCCAGAAGGGCAUCCCGGAGGAGAAGCGGGACAAGAUGGACGACUACUGCAGAUACAAUUACGGGGUUUUUUGAGAGCUUCACAGUGCAGCCGCGAGUCCAUCCUAAGGUGACUGUGUAUCCUGCAAAGACCCAGCCCCUGCAUCACCGCAACCCCCUGGUCGGCUCUGUGAGUGGUUUCUAUCCAGGCAGCAUUAAAGUCAGGUGGUUCCAGAAUGGUCAGGAAGAGAAGGCUGCGGUGGUCUCCAUAGGCCUGAUCCAGAAUGGAGAUUGGACCUUCCAGACCCUGGUGAUGCUGGAAACAGUUCCUCGGAGUGGAGAGGUUUACACCUGCCAAGUGGAGCAUCCAAGCGUGACGAGCCCUCUCACAGUGGAAUGGAGUACACGGACUGAAUCUGCACAGAGCAAGAUGCUGAGUGGAGUCGGGGGCUUUGUGCUGGGCCUGCUCUUCCUUGGGACAGGGCUGUUCAUCUACUUCAGGAAUCAGAAAGGACACUCUGGACUUCAGCCAACAGGACUCCUGCGCUGGACUCCUGAGCUGAAGUGCACAUGACCACAUUCAAGGAAGAACCUUCUGCCACAGCUUUGCAGGAUGAAAAGCUUUCCCACUUGGCUCUUAUUCUUCCACAAGAGCUCUCUCAGGACCAGGUUGUUACUCGUUCAGCAACUCUGCAGAAAAUGCCCUCCCUUGUGGCUUCCUCAGCUCCUGUUCUUGGCCUGAAACCCCACAGCCUUGAUGGCAGCGCCUCGUCUUCAACUUUUGUGCUUCCUUUUACCUAAAUUUUCCUGCCUCCCCUGGGUCUGUAUUCCCCUUGUGCCACAAACACAUUGCAUUAUUCAAUGUUUCUCAAACAUGGAGUUAAAAAUUAUCUGGU